GUAAGAAAUAAUAAACAUUUCAAUGUUCAUGAAAGAAGUAAUGAGAGGGUUUUCAUAAAGCCUUUAUGUAUCUUUUAAACUUAUGUUUAUUUCUUAUGCCAUUAAAAAAUAAGUCAGGACACUGUGGUGUUACACAACUUGGUCUUUUUCCACAUCUAGUGACUGAUAUAAACUACCCGUGCAGACGAGAAACCGGAGGAGGCAAAGCUUCAUGUCUGAGAUGGGAGAUUUGAGGCCACCUCCCCAACCCCUCCCCCUUGGUAACCACUAGUCACUUUUCAGUGUCUGAGAUACUAGCUCUCUUCAAAAAUGGAGGACGGGAAGCCCGUCUGGGCACCACACCCUACAGAUGGAUUUCAGAUUGGCAGUAUUGUGGAUAUUGGCCCUGACAGCUUAACAAUUGAACCCCUGAACCAAAAAGGCAAGACGUUCUUGGCUCUCAUAAACCAAGUGUUCCCUGCAGAAGAGGACAGUAAGAAAGAUGUGGAAGAUAACUCAAUAAAAGAUGGCAAGGCUGCCUGGGCUCCUUUGGCUACACAGAGGGCUGGGAGAUCAAUAUCUCGUCAUCUCCUGCCUCUGGUCAAAGUUCUUCGUAUUCCUACAUGAAAAGUACAAGGUGCAAAACAGUGCAUUUGGAAGUGCUGUUUUCAGAAAAGGAUAUACAUGGAUAUGUUUGCAUAAGCAAAGAAAAUGGAAGGAUAAACAAGAACAAAGGUGGUCUGUAGGGAGGAGAGCUUGGUGACCAGGAAUCAAGGUGGAACAUUUUCAUUGUAUACUCUUGAAUUUUGUACCAAAUAUAAGUAUUACUUAUUUAAUAAAUAAAUAUAUGUAAAUACAUAAAAGAUGCCUUUGAUGAAUCAUUUUGCAAGGUUCAUUUGUAAUACAAACAGUCACUCCCUAAUUUGCUUUGGAAAUGUUGACAUUUGUGUACUGGAUUUUCUUAAAGCAUGAAAUACCAGAGUAUGCAAGCCACACCCUGAGUGUUCUAAAUUUGAGGUCACUGACAAAACCAGCCAUGCAAGUGUGACUUUCCAAAGGCCAAACAUUGUCAAGAGAGGCAGAGUAAGUAGCAGGGGGCUUAAUGCAUUCCUAGCAUCUGAGAUGUCAGAGAGACAGGAUCUUGGAGUUGUUACAAUCCCCUUUCUUUAUAAAUGAGGAAACUAAAGCCUAAAGGGGAAAAUACUUACCUAAUAAAGAGGUCAUGGCAUUUUGUGUAAAUAAAUGAGAAAAGUAAUCAUCUAUAUCCAUGUUUGCAUAAAAAACUCUGGAAGGAUACAUAAAACACUAAUAUCAAUGGCUUCCUGUGGAGAGGAAAGGUGAGAAGUCAGAGGGUUGGAGACAGAGGCAGGAAUGAGAUUUUCACUUUGAACCUUUCAUAAACCUUGAUCUAUUUUUGAGCAAUACAAACCUAUUUAAAAACGUUAUAAAGAGAGAUGGACCAUGGCAUAUGACUAACACUCCAGUUUUCAAGGAAGACACUGAGGCUAUGGGCUCAGAGAGAAAUGGAGAAUCUCGUGUUGAAACCACAUGUCAACUCUGUUGCUUCAAAUGUUGGUGACAACCUGAAUUAUUUUGUCAUAUUGAGAUUUGUUUGAGAUAACAUGGGCCAUCAGCUGGGCUUAGGUCUCAUUUUUGAUUAUAGGCAGAUUUAUCAAAAUUGUGCAGUUAACAGCUCAUUGCUAGUCUAUGGAUUCAGUCAUAAGGAGAGGUGCCACAGGGCAAGAGAAAGAUAAGUGGACAGGAAAGAUCAGUGAUUCUAACCAUGCUUUGCAUUUUAAUUCACCUAUGACUUUGGGCAACCUAAUUCCUCUCUUUAGGGCAGUUUCACAUCUGUAAAUUGUAGGGAUUAGAGGAAGUGAUCUCUAGUUUCCUUUUAGCUCUGAUAUUGGAUUCCAAAGCACUUGUCAGCAAUUUAGAACUAAAGGAAUUUAAAAGACCAUUUUUCAAAGCCAGGAGAUGGUAAUGGGCUGUUGGGUCUCUUUGCUCACUGAUGUGAAGCUAUGCAAGAGCUAGCAAGUCCCUCUUUCUGAUGGUGACUGUCUAGAUCUGUGUUUCUCAGAGCACUAGUUUAGGGAAAUGUUAAUCAGUACUCCAUGAAACAUAGUCAUAAAUAUGGGCAAUCCUGUAUAAUAAAUGUUCCUGAUAGAGAGUUACAAUGCUAUUAAAGGUCUUGAAAAGUUCUGCAGUAAAGAAACUCACAUUAUUUUACUUAAUCGAAACAUUUUCCAAAUUUACGGAUAUGGAUCACUCUGGUGCAUCCUAUUACGUCUAUUUGGAAUAAAUGGGAUUUACAUGCCUCCAUUUUUAGGAAAUUGAUGAGAUCAGCUACCAGUUUGCAGUUGGGACAGUCCUAGGGCCUCUGGAAACAUGGGAAGACUUACCACAUUCCUAAAGGGAGCCUGAGAAUCUUGUGAUUCAUGCAGCUCUCCACCCCACCAGUUGAACGAAAACUUUCAAAAGUGCGAGCCUCAGCAACUCCCUCAUAUUACAGGAAGGUUCCUAAGCACAAUGAGGUCAGUGGACAUCAUACCACUUUCACUUCUGGCUUCCAGAUUUAUUUUUCCUUUGAGGAACUUGUUUUUGUCACUCUUUCUGUUCAGCAUUAUAGUCCUCUUUCUCUUCAUAUUCUGUAAGCCUUUUAUAAUUUCCUCCCUGUUGAUAUUUUCAUUCCCAAAUAGGUAGGUGGGAAAAGUUUAUGCAUUAUCUAGGUAUGAACCUGCCACACUUCACAUCCUUCAUUAGUUUUGAGAUUUUUCACCCCAGUUCCCCCAAGAAACAUCGAUUCAUCAUCACACACACACACAACACAGUCAUAUGGAAAAAAUUAAUUUAAAAUCUGUAUUUCUUAAGACUUCUCGAUUUUUUUUGGCCCCAUCAUUAAGCAUUCAGUUUAAAGAAAAUAAAAAUGUCUAAACAGGCAAAAUCAUAUGAUCAAAGCUAUCAGCGUACUGUGCGUUGGCAUAUCUGAAACCAAAAAACAACAUAAAAAGUUACUUUUGUAUUUAGUGCUUUCUCUAUUUUGAGGUUUUCAGGUUUGUAGCCUAAGCAUUGGGAUAAAAAUGACAAGACAGCUGUUGCAGGUCCAGUUAAUGAUACUAAUGCUUCCCUGAAGGACUGAAGCUGCAAUACAUUUUCUUCUCCAGGGCAGGUGUGGUUAUUGGCAGUUACCACACAAUAUAUGCUGUCUGAGCUCAGCACUAUCCUUCCUGCUUUCUCAGAACAGUGGGAAAGCAAUGGAGAUGAGAAGGCAUCUGAAUGGGAGUGGAGGAGGUCCCCAGUGGCAUCUCCUUUGUCUCCCUAAGCACAUUUCCAUGAUGAGUUGUCUUAAUUCACCUGGGAAGUAUUUACUGAACUCUAUAGUUGAUACUUAAAGGGAAGGCCAUGAAAUUAAGUGGGAGAGGGGCACUGAAAACCAAACCAAACCACAGGAGGAGAGAGGUUACUAGGAGAAUGGAAGGUGUUAUUGUUAAUUUUAUGUGUCAACGUGGCUAGUCUAUGGUGCCCAGUUUGGUCAAACACUAGUCUGGAUGUUACCUCUGAAGAUGUAUUUUAGAUAUGAUUAACAUUUACACUCACUUGACUUUUAGUUAAGUAGAUUACCCUCCAUAAUGUGGGUAGGUCUCAUCUGAUCAGUUAAAGACCUUACAGACAAAGGCUAAGGUGUCCCAAGGAAGAAGGUGUCAUCCUCAAGAUGACAACAUAGGAAUCCUGCCUGAGUUUCCAGCUUGCUUGCCGAUCCUGUGCAUUUCAGACUCAAGACUGCAACAUCAACUCUCUCCUGAGUUGCCAGCCUGUGAGCCUGCCCUACAGAUCUAGGACUUGCCAGCCCCCACAAUCAUGUGAGGCAGUUCCUUAAAACUCUUUUUUUCUCUAUACUAUUGCUUCUGUUUCUCUGGAGAACCCUAAUACAGAGGGCUCCAGGAAAGAGGAUCCUAGAGAAAAAAAUGGAGAUAGACUAAGUGUAAAUUUGACCAUAAUCUGAGAAAAGUUUUCCAGUUUUGGCAGAGAGCUUGCAGAUAAAUAAGAUGUUUUGAAGCAACACUGCAUAAGGGAAAAAAUUGAGGCAAUUGUUAACUCCAGGGAAAACAAAAAGUGGUAUAAGAAAACAAGGUAAUUAUUCUGCCCUCCUUGGCUCAGUUGUAAAUAUCGAAUAUUGAUUUAAAGAGAAUGGGGUGGUGGGAGAAGUUAGGUGGAAGUUGUGGCAUAAGUGAGUUAAAUCCUUGUCUUCAUUGAAAAAAUUAAAAAGUAAUAUAAAACUGAAAAUUUAAGAAAUAGCAAUGUUAUUUAGAAGAAACAACUGAAAGUGUUGAAACCAGCUGCGUCUGUUGUGUGAAUCCUGUGGGAGUGGGUGGGACAAGGAACUGCUGUUUAUCAUUUUAAGUCUAGUAGAUUGUUUGGUCUUUUUCAAACAUGUAUUACUUUGAUACAAAUAAAAACUAAAUAGUUAUGCGGGAAUGUACAGAAAAGUAUAAAGAAGAAAAUAAUAACCAGUCAUAAUUCUUCCACUCAGAGAAAGCAGCUAUGCACAUUUUAGAGGAAAAGGUUUAUUAAAAGAACUGGUUGAGAUUAAAUUGCCAGAGACUGAGGAUGUAAGAAUAUCACAAUUUCUAUGAUGUAACAAUGAACUCAUCUUGUACAUUUCCUGUGCAAGUUCUGGAAUCAGUCAUUUCUCCAAGGAACCCUAACUCCUUUCACUGAGAAAUGAUAUUACAAGACCACAUCUGGGUACUAGGAGUGCUCUUUGCUGUUGGCUCCUUCUUUCUAGGCCAAUUCAGUGAACAGUAUUA
This is an RNA transcript of Manis pentadactyla (Chinese pangolin), 4787 nucleotides long. It is a transcript of the gene named unconventional myosin-VI-like, with no coding region annotated. Lineage: Eukaryota; Metazoa; Chordata; Mammalia; Pholidota; Manidae. The transcript is spliced from 5 exons. The record is from RefSeq and is a predicted model, not a curated record.